Molecule: long non-coding RNA, 318 nt
Organism: Sarcophilus harrisii (Tasmanian devil)
Lineage: Eukaryota; Metazoa; Chordata; Mammalia; Dasyuromorphia; Dasyuridae
Exons: 3
Source: RefSeq, a predicted model, not a curated record
AGAAAAUGAGUGGCUCCCUCAGGACAGACUACAACCUGACAGAGGUCGUUGUCAUGGUGAAACAGAACUCUACCUACCCAUGGCCACUCCCACUGGGAUUCCAGCUUUUGCUUGGGGAAAUAUGUUCUAAGGCUUGAUCCUCAUAGCUGGAUUAGUUCAAGAAGAAGAAAAAGAAAACCAUGUUAAAGAUGAAGGCUUUACUAUUGAAACUUGACAAUUUUUUUCCUACUGAAGAAAAGAAUUCAUCCAUGACUCUUCACUCUCCCUUGCUUUCUGUGUUGAAAAAGUUAUUGAAUCCCUAUCCUUCCACUGCUGGAU